GCAGCAGCCACGGUAAUACGUAGGUGGCAAGCGUUGUCCGGAAUUAUUGGGCGUAAAGGGCUCGCAGGCGGUUUCUUAAGUCUGAUGUGAAAGCCCCCGGCUCAACCGGGGAGGGUCAUUGGAAACUGGGAAACUUGAGUGCAGAAGAGGAGAGUGGAAUUCCACGUGUAGCGGUGAAAUGCGUAGAGAUGUGGAGGAACACCAGUGGCGAAGGCGACUCUCUGGUCUGUAACUGACGCUGAGGAGCGAAAGCGUGGGGAGCGAACAGGAUUAGAUACCCCGGUAGUCCCUGUCUCUUAUAA
This 302-nucleotide ribosomal RNA is filed under the name uncultured bacterium. Its description in RNAcentral is "partial 16S ribosomal RNA". It matches the Rfam family "Bacterial small subunit ribosomal RNA", at positions 508 to 809 of the family's 1533-position model. The record is from RNAcentral.